Molecule: ribosomal RNA, 254 nt
Filed under: uncultured bacterium
Lineage: Bacteria
Description: partial 16S ribosomal RNA
Rfam family: Bacterial small subunit ribosomal RNA
Source: RNAcentral
UACGAAGGGGGGCUAGCGUUGUUCGGAAUUACUGGGCGUAAAGCGCACGUAGGCGGAUAUUUAAGUCAGGGGUGAAAUCCCAGAGCUCAACUCUGGAACUGCCUUUGAUACUGGGUAUCUUGAGUAUGGAAGAGGUAAGUGGAAUUCCGAGUGUAGAGGUGAAAUUCGUAGAUAUUCGGAGGAACACCAGUGGCGAAGGCGGCUUACUGGUCCAUUACUGACGCUGAGGUGCGAAAGCGUGGGGAGCAAACAGG